GGGAUAGCCACUUGGCAGGACUCAUAAUCCUUUGGUCCACGGUUCAAGUCCGUGUGGGCCCACCA
This 65-nucleotide transfer RNA is filed under the name Pseudomonas fluorescens. Its description in RNAcentral is "tRNA-Met". Lineage: Bacteria; Pseudomonadati; Pseudomonadota; Gammaproteobacteria; Pseudomonadales; Pseudomonadaceae. The record is from RNAcentral.